This 579-nucleotide ribosomal RNA is filed under the name Microbacterium sp. I14A-00905. RNAcentral describes it as "bacterial SSU rRNA". It matches the Rfam family "Bacterial small subunit ribosomal RNA", at positions 95 to 687 of the family's 1533-position model. The record is from RNAcentral. Lineage: Bacteria; Bacillati; Actinomycetota; Actinomycetes; Micrococcales; Microbacteriaceae.
GUGGCGAACGGGUGAGUAACACGUGAGCAACCUGCCCCUGACUCUGGGAUAAGCGCUGGAAACGGCGUCUAAUACUGGAUACGAACAGCGACCGCAUGGUCAGUUGUUGGAAAGAUUUAUUGGUUGGGGAUGGGCUCGCGGCCUAUCAGCUUGUUGGUGAGGUAAUGGCUCACCAAGGCGUCGACGGGUAGCCGGCCUGAGAGGGUGACCGGCCACACUGGGACUGAGACACGGCCCAGACUCCUACGGGAGGCAGCAGUGGGGAAUAUUGCACAAUGGGCGCAAGCCUGAUGCAGCAACGCCGCGUGAGGGAUGACGGCCUUCGGGUUGUAAACCUCUUUUAGCAGGGAAGAAGCGAGAGUGACGGUACCUGCAGAAAAAGCACCGGCUAACUACGUGCCAGCAGCCGCGGUAAUACGUAGGGUGCAAGCGUUAUCCGGAAUUAUUGGGCGUAAAGAGCUCGUAGGCGGUUUGUCGCGUCUGCUGUGAAAUCUGGGGGCUCAACCCCCAGCCUGCAGUGGGUACGGGCAGACUAGAGUGCGGUAGGGGAGAUUGGAAUUCCUGGUGUAGCGGUGGAAU